RNAcentral lists this ribosomal RNA (450 nucleotides) under uncultured bacterium. RNAcentral describes it as "partial 16S ribosomal RNA". It matches the Rfam family "Bacterial small subunit ribosomal RNA", at positions 354 to 796 of the family's 1533-position model. The record is from RNAcentral.
GUGGGGAAUUUUGGACAAUGGGCGCAAGCCUGAUCCAGCAAUGCCGCGUGCAGGAAGAAGGCCUUCGGGUUGUAAACUGCUUUUGUACGGAACGAAACGGUCCGGGUUAAUACCCUGGGCUAAUGACGGUACCGUAAGAAUAAGCACCGGCUAACUACGUGCCAGCAGCCGCGGUAAUACGUAGGGUGCAAGCGUUAAUCGGAAUUACUGGGCGUAAAGCGUGCGCAGGCGGUUAUAUAAGACAGAUGUGAAAUCCCCGGGCUCAACCUGGGAAUUGCGCUUGUGACUGCAAGGCUGGAGUGCGGCAGAGGGGGAUGGAAUUCCGCGUGUAGCAGUGAAAUGCGUAGAUAUGCGGAGGAACACCGAUGGCGAAGGCAAUCCCCUGGGCCUGCACUGACGCUCAUGCACGAAAGCGUGGGGAGCAAACAGGAUUAGAUACCCCGGUAGUCC